RNAcentral lists this ribosomal RNA (592 nucleotides) under Hyphodiscus theiodeus. Its description in RNAcentral is "eukaryotic LSU rRNA". It matches the Rfam family "Eukaryotic large subunit ribosomal RNA", at positions 49 to 656 of the family's 3401-position model. The record is from RNAcentral. Lineage: Eukaryota; Fungi; Ascomycota; Leotiomycetes; Helotiales; Hyphodiscaceae.
AGCGGAGGAAAAGAAACCAACAGGGAUUGCCUCAGUAACGGCGAGUGAAGCGGCAACAGCUCAAAUUUGAAAUCUGGCCCUCUUAGGGUCCGAGUUGUAAUUUGUAGAAGAUGCUUUGGGAACGGUACCGGUCUAAGUUCCUUGGAACAGGACGUCACAGAGGGUGAGAAUCCCGUAUGCGACUGGUUGCCUGCCCCGUGUAAAGCUCUUUCGACGAGUCGAGUUGUUUGGGAAUGCAGCUCAAAAUGGGUGGUAAAUUUCAUCUAAAGCUAAAUAUUGGCCAGAGACCGAUAGCGCACAAGUAGAGUGAUCGAAAGAUGAAAAGCACUUUGGAAAGAGAGUUAAACAGUACGUGAAAUUGUUGAAAGGGAAGCGCUUGCAACCAGACUUGCACGCAGUUAAUCAUCUGGUGUUCUCACCGGUGCACUUGGCUGCGUUCAGGCCAGCAUCGGUUUAGGUGGUGGGAUAAAGGCCUUGGGAAUGUGGCUCCUCUCGGGGAGCGUUAUAGCCCUCGGUGCAAUGCCGCCUACCUGGACCGAGGACCGCGCUUCGGCUAGGAUGCUGGCGUAAUGGUUGUAAGCGACCCGUCUUG